RNAcentral lists this RNase P RNA (335 nucleotides) under human gut metagenome. RNAcentral describes it as "Bacterial RNase P class A". It matches the Rfam family "Bacterial RNase P class A". From Rfam's summary of the family: Ribonuclease P (RNase P) is a ubiquitous endoribonuclease, found in archaea, bacteria and eukarya as well as chloroplasts and mitochondria. Its best characterised activity is the generation of mature 5'-ends of tRNAs by cleaving the 5'-leader elements of precursor-tRNAs. Cellular RNase Ps are ribonucleoproteins. The record is from RNAcentral. RNAcentral also lists the same sequence under 1 other name.
GUAAGCUAUGCGAUAGCUGGAUGGCUUUACAUUCAGAGGAAAGUCCGAGCAUCACAGAGCAGGAUAGCUGCUAACGGCAGCCGAGGGCGACCUUAGGGCCAGUGCAACAGAAAUAUACCGCCUUUAAAGGUAAGGUUGGAAUGGCGAGGUAAGAGCUCACCAGAAUACAGGAGACUGUAUUGCUAUGUAAACCCUAUCCGAUGCAACUCCAAUGGUAGAUAUUUAAGUCAAUGGCUGCUCGUCAGGCUUAUAUCUAUAGGGGGCUUGAACCUUAUGGCAACAUAAGGUCUAGAUAGAUUAUCGCACACGACAAAACUCGGCUUAUCGGCUUAGUC